GGGAAGGUGAACAGGCAGACAACAAAGGAUUGUCAGGGCAGUGAAACUGCUCUUUACGAUACUGUGACGGUGGAUAGAUGCCAUUAUACAUUUGUCCAAAAUCAUAGAGUAUACACCACCAGGAGUGAUCGCUAGUGUAAACUGCGGACUUUGGGUGACAAAGAUGUGUCCAUAGUGAGCACUGGAAGGAAUCUCUCUCACACACACACCACCCCCGCCAUAUCUUUUUCUGAGAGAUGGAAGGAAGAAAAGAAGGAAGAAGAGAUCUUUGACCUGCUGGGAGGAGCAGCAUCUUGCCAUGAGGAGGGUGUAAUUAUCCCACACCCAGUCCACACUCCCAACUCCCAGAUACCGUCUAGAGGAGGGACACCCACAGCCAAAGGGGCGUGCGAGGUACAAAUGGAGUCCGCCUACACUCUGACAGCCAUGAACCGACUCCAAGGACAUUGCUGUGCGCUGAGAAGCUGACACAGAGCAGAAUAAAGCACGAAGAUGACCAAACACAGACUGCCUGGUUUAUCCACAUAGCUGACUCUUCUGGAAUACCCUGCAUCUCAUUGCAGUGGAAGAUCAGGAAAUGAGAAAAACCUUAAUCUCAAAACUGGACGCAUCUACUCGAAUCAAGGAAGUCAGUCUCAUUUGAGAACAGCGCUCCCAGGCUCCCCAUCCACACUCGAAAGCUACACAAUGGCUUUUCCAAUCACAAGUCAAAUAAGCAUCUAAAGUUAAAGCCAUAAAGCCAUGAAAUAAAGCAUCAGGGAAUAACCCC
RNAcentral lists this long non-coding RNA (769 nucleotides) under Equus asinus (donkey). Its description in RNAcentral is "lncRNA (ENSEASG00005025549.1)". The record is from RNAcentral. Lineage: Eukaryota; Metazoa; Chordata; Mammalia; Perissodactyla; Equidae.